GUUCAAUAUGUAUCUAUUGCACCCAGCACUGGGCUGGGUCCUCUGAAAGAAAUCCCGUAAAACCUCAAGGAGCUCACAGGCUGGAAUAUUCUUUCACAGGCAAGCAAGGACCCAGGGCUGUGCUCAAGCUGGGCUACAAGGGCUGGACCAGGGUCUGGGGUUGGGCAUAGGUUGGGCUGACUUGCAGUUGCUGGCCUUGGAGAAAGGAGAAGCAAAGCCACUGUGAUUGGAGGAAGGAGAUUCAGGAAGCAAGGACAGCUCUUAGUGUCAGUUCCAAUGGUUGGGUAUGAGAAAGAGGGAGUAAAAACUGGGGCUUCAAGAAGGCAGGGACUAUAGUUGUAUUUCCUCCCAGUGUAUUCACAGUGCAUCUGGUUCACCAAAGACUCUCAAGGUGACUUCAUCCAUGGCGGCUGUGUGGCAGCGAGCUACUUGCGCAUCUCUUCUGUUCCGUGAGGUCAUGUUGGCAGCUUGAAAUUGAUCAAGUGGGAAGCAUUUACAUCACAGAAAUUGGGCAGAGCCAGGAUGAGAACCCAGAUUUCCGGAUUCCAAGUCCAACAUCUUUUCAACCAUCUCAUGGUCAUCCAGAAGUGCAACCAGGAAAAAGUCUGUAGGGAGAUCAUGCCUGUAAUACUCUUGCUGGUUAAAAAGAGUAUUAUGGAUUUUCUGACAGCUCUUUUGCUGUGUCACAUCAGCCCCCUGUCUGAUUUUAUGCUUACAUGGCCAUUACUCUCUAUUAGCAUACUAAUAAAUGUUUAUGAGAUUA
RNAcentral lists this long non-coding RNA (763 nucleotides) under Homo sapiens (human). RNAcentral describes it as "HSALNT0292711". Lineage: Eukaryota; Metazoa; Chordata; Mammalia; Primates; Hominidae. The record is from RNAcentral.